Long non-coding RNA from Ornithorhynchus anatinus (platypus), 529 nucleotides. RefSeq lists it as uncharacterized. Lineage: Eukaryota; Metazoa; Chordata; Mammalia; Monotremata; Ornithorhynchidae. The record is from RefSeq and is a predicted model, not a curated record. The transcript has 2 exons.
UGAAUUGUGAUGUCACGGAAAGCAACCCGACAGGGGUCCUGGGUACCCCCCUCCAUUGUCUGUGGGCUAUAAAUUGGGGCACAGGAGCCAGGCAAGGCCCCAGACGCAGGCAACAGCAGUCAAGUACACAUCACCGCCUAGCCAUGGCUAAGGUUACCUGCCCUCUACGUGCGGUGCACAGACAGCCCCAACGCCCGAGGGUCCAAAGCCGUAAACGAAGAUACAAGCCCCCGAGUCAGAGACUAAAGAGGAGAAGAGUUCAGCGGAGGAGGAAGAGGCAGUCACCCCGGCAGAGAAGGAACUGACUUGGCCCCUGCCAGCCCCCGAAGAUCAACCUGUAGCAGGAGUACCAUGUUGCUGAACACACACCUGAUGUAGAUGAACCAACUAGCACGUCAUCAGAAUUUAGAUCAACCUGUAGCAGGAGUACCAUGUUGCUGAACACACACCUGAUGUAGAUGAACCAACUAGCACGUCAUCAGAAUUUGUAAUCCAAGUGUAACAUUCCAAUAAACGAGUAAUGAACAUG